CUUUACUGUAACUUCGCAGUGGCAACACGAUUGGCAUGUGUAGUAUAGGUGGGACCCUUUGAAGUUCUGGCGCCAGCCGGGAUGGAGGGAACAGUGAAAUACCACCCUUGCUUUUUGUGUUGUCUAACCUGCUUCCCUUAUCGGGAAGAGGGACCCUGCGUGGCGGGCAGUUUGACUGGGGCGGUCGCCUCCCAAAUAGUAACGGAGGCGCGCGAUGGUUAGCUCAUGACGGUCGGAAAUCGUCAUUUGAGUGCAAUGGCAUAAGCUAGCCUGACUGUGACGCUGACAAGCGGAGCAGAGACGAAAGUCGGUCAUAGUGAUCCGGUGGUUCCGUAUGGAAGGGCCAUCGCUCAACGGAUAAAAGGUA
This 367-nucleotide ribosomal RNA is filed under the name uncultured organism. RNAcentral describes it as "bacterial LSU rRNA". It matches the Rfam family "Bacterial large subunit ribosomal RNA", at positions 2099 to 2465 of the family's 2925-position model. The record is from RNAcentral.